AUGUUGCGUUCACUGAUCCGUAUGAUGGCAUGUCCGGCACCACCAGUGACGGCAGGUUCGCUGCUCCGUGUGAUGACGCCUUCCCCGCUCCACGGAGUGCUAGCCUGCGUGUUCGUCGUGCUGAGAGGUCACAGAGGGAAAGGGAGCCUUGGAGCAAUGCCCCGGGGGAUAGAGGCCAGAAUGUUCCAGGUGGAAAAAAUCUGUGCUCCAGGUGGUGACAGCAGUGAAAUCUGGCCACACCAGGGAGUGUCUGCUGCGGGGAGCCUCGGCCAGGCCACCGUCGGGCCUCCCUCCAGCCUGCUGGGCAGUAGCCCCCCUUCCCACGUCCACGCUCCGUGGGCCGCGGGCACUGGCACCCUGGGAGCUGGAGAGAUGCAGCUGGAAGAGCCCGCGCCCGGGGCACGAGGGGUCCCAUGCCAUGUCACGGGCUUGUCCCCAGCUGCCACCGUGCUGAUGGCUUGGCCGCCACUGCUGCUUACUGAGCACACCCGCGUGGGCCCUCGCUGCUGUGCCUUCUGUCGAGGCUCCGGCUCUCUCAUCCCUGAGGGACCCCGGCAUCCCACCUACCCAGGCUCACCAAGACAGGGCCCAUCACCGGUCCUCCGCACUCCUGAGUGUCGCACAGAGCGGGGGUCAGGCCACCUUAGGUUGUUGGGCUAUGGUUUUUGCAGAGUCCUGAGCUCCUGUGAAGAUCUGCUUCUCUCCAGCCUUGGGCUAUCUGCAUUCUUGAACAUCUCCGGGCCCAGAAGGAAAAGAAGAAUGCUGAGCAGCUCAGGGAAUGGCUUGAAUGAAAAGAGCACGUUCCUGGCGGUGGUGACAUCGGUCUGCAAGCAGUCAGCCCGAUAG
RNAcentral lists this long non-coding RNA (846 nucleotides) under Canis lupus familiaris (dog). RNAcentral's name for it is "lncRNA (ENSCAFG00000035602.3, ENSCAFG00845012589.1)". The record is from RNAcentral. Lineage: Eukaryota; Metazoa; Chordata; Mammalia; Carnivora; Canidae.